Molecule: ribosomal RNA, 740 nt
Filed under: uncultured bacterium
Lineage: Bacteria
Description: bacterial SSU rRNA
Rfam family: Bacterial small subunit ribosomal RNA
Source: RNAcentral
AGAGUUUGAUCCUGGCUCAGAGUGAACGCUAGCGGUGCGCCUAACACAUGCAAGUCGAGUGGGUUCAGACCCACGGCAAACGGCUGCGUAACACGUUGGAAUCUGCCCCGAACUCAGGGAUAACCCCGCGAAAGCGGGGCUAAUACCGGAUGCCCCCGCAAGGGGAAAGAUUUUUCGGUUCGGGAGGAGCCUGCGGCCUAUCAGAUAGUUGGUGGGGUAACGGCCUACCAAGUUGAUGACGGGUAGCUGGUCUGAGAGGACGACCAGCCAGAAUGGAACUGCGACACGGUCCAUACUCCUACGGGAGGCAGCAGUGAGGAAUCUUCCGCAAUGGGCGAAAGCCUGACGGAGCGACACCGCGUGAAGGAUGAAACCCUUUUGGGCGUAAACUUCUGUUCUGAGGGACGAAAUUUUUGACGGUACCUCAGGAGAAAGCACCGGCUAAUUCUGUGCCAGCAGCCGCGGUAAGACAGAAGGUGCAAGCGUUACUCGGAAUUACUGGGCGUAAAGGGUCCGUAGGUGUUCCUGCAAGUCUGGUGUCAAAAUGCGAAGCUUAACUUCGCACUCGUGCCGGAAACUAUAGGAAUCGAGCCAUUCAGAGGUAUCUGGAAUGUCGUGUGUAGGGGUAAAAUCCGUUGAUCCACGAUAGAACGUCAAAAGCGAAGGCAGGAUACUAGGAAUGUGCUGACACUCAGGGACGAAAGCGUGGGGAGCAAACCGGAUUAGAUACCCUGGUAGUC